AUACGGGGGGAGCAAGCGUUGUCCGGAAUCAUUGGGCGUAAAGGGCACGUAGGCGGUUUCUUAAGUCGAAUGUGAAAUCUCACGGCUCAACCGUGAAACUGCGUUCGAAACUAAGUGACUUGAGUUUGGGAGAGGUGUACGGAAUUCCUGGUGUAGCGGUGGAAUGCGUAGAUAUCAGGAAGAACACCAAUGGCGGAUGCAGUACACUGGCCUGAAACUGACGCUGAGGUGCGAAAGCGUGGGGAGCAAACAGGAUUAGAAACCCCGGGUAGUCC
RNAcentral lists this ribosomal RNA (275 nucleotides) under uncultured bacterium. RNAcentral's name for it is "partial 16S ribosomal RNA". It matches the Rfam family "Bacterial small subunit ribosomal RNA", at positions 523 to 796 of the family's 1533-position model. The record is from RNAcentral.